Molecule: ribosomal RNA, 402 nt
Filed under: Loktanella sp. S61
Lineage: Bacteria; Pseudomonadati; Pseudomonadota; Alphaproteobacteria; Rhodobacterales; Roseobacteraceae
Description: bacterial SSU rRNA
Rfam family: Bacterial small subunit ribosomal RNA
Source: RNAcentral
AACGAACGCUGGCGGCAGGCCUAACACAUGCAAGUCGAGCGCACCUUCGGGUGAGCGGCGGACGGGUUAGUAACGCGUGGGAAUAUGCCCUUCACUACGGAAUAGCCAUUGGAAACGAUGAGUAAUACCGUAUACGCCCUUCGGGGGAAAGAUUUAUCGGUGAAGGAUUAGCCCGCGUCUGAUUAGAUAGUUGGUGGGGUAAUGGCCUACCAAGUCUACGAUCAGUAGCUGGUUUGAGAGGAUGAUCAGCAACACUGGGACUGAGACACGGCCCAGACUCCUACGGGAGGCAGCAGUGGGGAAUCUUAGACAAUGGGCGCAAGCCUGAUCUAGCCAUGCCGCGUGAGUGACGAAGGCCUUAGGGUCGUAAAGCUCUUUCGCCAGGGAUGAUAAUGACAGUAC